UACGUAGGGGGCAAGCGUUGUCCGGAAUCAUUGGGCGUAAAGAGCGCGUAGGCGGUCCGGUAAGUCCGCUCUGAAAGUCCGGGGCUCAACCCCGGGAGGCGGGCGGAUACUGCCGGGCUAGAGUCCGGAAGAGGCGAGUGGAAUUCCUGGUGUAGCGGUGAAAUGCGCAGAUAUCAGGAAGAACACCUAUGGCGAAGGCAGCUCUCUGGGACGGUACUGACGCUGAGACGCGAAAGCGUGGGGAGCGAACAGG
This 253-nucleotide ribosomal RNA is filed under the name uncultured bacterium. RNAcentral's name for it is "partial 16S ribosomal RNA". It matches the Rfam family "Bacterial small subunit ribosomal RNA", at positions 524 to 776 of the family's 1533-position model. The record is from RNAcentral.